AUUGAACGCUGGCGGCAUGCCUUACACAUGCAAGUCGAACGGUAACGGGCCUUCGGGUGCCGACGAGUGGCGAACGGGUGAGUAAUACAUCGGAACGUGCCCGAUCGUGGGGGAUAACGAGGCGAAAGCUUUGCUAAUACCGCAUACGAUCUACGGAUGAAAACCGGGGACCGCAAGGCCUUGCGCGGACGGAGCGGCCGAUGGCAGAUUAGGUAGUUGGUGGGAUAAAGCUUACCAAGCCGACGAUCUGUAGCUGGUCUGAGAGGAUGAUCAGCCACACUGGGACUGAGACACGGCCCAGACUCCUACGGGAGGCAGCAGUGGGGAAUUUUAGACAAUGGGCGCAAGCCUGAUCCAGCCAUGCCGCGUGCAGGAUGAAGGCCUUCGGGUUGUAAACUGCUUUUGUACGGAGCGAAAAGCCUUCUUUUAAUACAGGAGGGUCAUGACGGUACCGGAAGAAUAAGCACCGGCUAACUACGUG
RNAcentral lists this ribosomal RNA (481 nucleotides) under uncultured bacterium. RNAcentral describes it as "partial 16S ribosomal RNA". It matches the Rfam family "Bacterial small subunit ribosomal RNA", at positions 30 to 507 of the family's 1533-position model. The record is from RNAcentral.